CCUACGGGGGGCAGCAGUGGGGAAUAUUGCACAAUGGGGGAAACCCUGAUGCAGCGACGCCGCGUGAGUGAAGAAGUAUCUCGGUAUGUAAAGCUCUAUCAGCAGGGAAGAAAAUGACGGUACCUGACUAAGAAGCCCCGGCUAAAUACGUGCCAGCAGCCGCGGUAAUACGUAUGGUGCAAGCGUUAUCCGGAUUUACUGGGUGUAAAGGGAGCGCAGGCGGUUCUGCAAGUCUGAUGUGAAAGCCCGGGGCUCAACCGCGGGACUGCAUUGGAAACUGCGGGACUGGAGUGUAGGAGGGGUAAGCGGAAUUCCUGGUGUAGCGGUGAAAUGCGUAGAUAGCAGGAGGAACACCGGUGGCGAAGGCGGCUUACUGGACGAUGACUGACGCUGAGGCUCGAAAGCGUGGGGAGCAAACAGGAUUAGAUACCCUAGUAGUC
Molecule: ribosomal RNA, 440 nt
Filed under: uncultured bacterium
Lineage: Bacteria
Description: partial 16S ribosomal RNA
Rfam family: Bacterial small subunit ribosomal RNA
Source: RNAcentral